Molecule: ribosomal RNA, 189 nt
Filed under: uncultured bacterium
Lineage: Bacteria
Description: partial 16S ribosomal RNA
Rfam family: Bacterial small subunit ribosomal RNA
Source: RNAcentral
CCUACGGGAGGCAGCAGUGAGGAAUAUUGGUCAAUGGGCGAGAGCCUGAACCAGCCAAGUAGCGUGCAGGAUGACGGCCCUAUGGGUUGUAAACUGCUUUUAUGCGGGGAUAAAGUGUGGGACGUGUCCCUUUUUGUAGGUACCGCAUGAAUAAGGACCGGCUAAUUCCGUGCCAGCAGCCGCGGUAAU